AUAGUCGUAUACAAUUAUGAGUC
This 23-nucleotide microRNA is filed under the name Drosophila mojavensis. RNAcentral's name for it is "Dmo-Novel-11_5p (mature (guide))". The record is from RNAcentral. Lineage: Eukaryota; Metazoa; Arthropoda; Insecta; Diptera; Drosophilidae.